UAGUCCCGCAACGAGCGCAACCCUUGCCAUUAGUUGCUACGCAAGAGCACUUUAAUGGGACUGCCGUUGACAAAACGGAGGAAGGUGGGGACGACGUCAAAUCAUCAUGCCCCUUAUGACCUGGGCUACACACGUACUACAAUGGCAAUUAACAGAGGGAAGCGAAGCAGUGAUGUGGAGCAAAUCCCUAAAAAUUGUCUCAGUUCGGAUUGUAGGCUGCAACUCGCCUACAUGAAGUCGGAAUUGCUAGUAAUCGCAGAUCAGCAUGCUGCGGUGAAUACGUUCCCGGGCCUUGUACACACCGCCCGUCACACCAUGGGAGUCGGUAACACCCGAAGCCAGUAGUCUAACCUUUUAGGAGGACGCUGUCGAAGGUGGGAUUGAUGACUGGGGUGAAGUCGUAACAAGGUAACA
RNAcentral lists this ribosomal RNA (414 nucleotides) under uncultured bacterium. RNAcentral describes it as "bacterial SSU rRNA". It matches the Rfam family "Bacterial small subunit ribosomal RNA", at positions 1082 to 1501 of the family's 1533-position model. The record is from RNAcentral.